CAUUUAUUGGUCUGACAGCAGCUUUGAUGCAAUUAUCCGCUCAAAUCUUGAUGGCUCAAACGAAACUGUUAUUAUAAAUGGCAGUGGUUUUGGAAAAGGACAUCUCACUUUAGAUGUGGAAAAUAGCUGGAUAUACUUUAUGGACGAUGAAAUUGGUUCAAUUGAAAGGUGUACUUUAGAUGGAGAUGAUCAAAUGACAGUAAUCAGCGACUCUGUUUUGACCAAAAAGUCACGAAUAUUACUGGAGUUUGAAGUCGGAAGAAUUCAUUGGACAGUACGAUACAUGAUAAGGUCUGCGUUUUUAAACGGAAGUGAUGUGCAGGAAAUUAACGGUUAUGGCUUUAAA
This is a long non-coding RNA of Mytilus trossulus (common blue mussel), 346 nucleotides long. RefSeq lists it as uncharacterized. The record is from RefSeq and is a predicted model, not a curated record. Lineage: Eukaryota; Metazoa; Mollusca; Bivalvia; Mytilida; Mytilidae. The transcript is spliced from 3 exons.